This 604-nucleotide ribosomal RNA is filed under the name fungal sp. RNAcentral describes it as "eukaryotic LSU rRNA". The stretch from base 173 to 326 matches the Rfam family "5.8S ribosomal RNA". The record is from RNAcentral. Lineage: Eukaryota; Fungi.
UUACAGGACUCGCAAGACUCCCGUAAACCACUGUGAACUUACCUACAACCCGUUGCCUCGGCGGGUGCUCCGGGCGCGUCUUCGGGCGCUCCGGGGCGCUCCAGCCCGCCGGCGGCCCCUAAACUCUGUCUCUGUAACGUUGGCAUCUCCGAGCAGACUAUAAACGAGUCAAAACUUUCAACAACGGAUCUCUUGGUUCUGGCAUCGAUGAAGAACGCAGCGAAAUGCGAUAAGUAAUGUGAAUUGCAGAAUUCAGUGAAUCAUCGAAUCUUUGAACGCACAUUGCGCCCGCCAGCACUCUGGCGGGCAUGCCUGUCCGAGCGUCAUUUCAACCCUCAGGCCCCGCCUGGCGUUGGAGCCCUGCGCAGCGCAGGCUCCCAAAGACAGCGGCGGGCGCGCCCCGGAACCGAGCGCAGUAAUGCUUUCUCGUUCUGGUCCGGCGCGCGCUCCGGCCGUAAAACCCCCAACUUUCUAAGUGGUUGACCUCGGAUCAGGUAGGAAUACCCGCUGAACUUAAGCAUAUCAAUAAGCGGAGGAAAAGAAACCAACAGGGAUUGCCUCAGUAACGGCGAGUGAAGCGGCAACAGCUCAAAUUUGAAAUCUG